Molecule: long non-coding RNA, 593 nt
Organism: Mauremys reevesii (Reeves's turtle)
Lineage: Eukaryota; Metazoa; Chordata; Testudines; Geoemydidae
Exons: 3
Source: RefSeq, a predicted model, not a curated record
GGUGGCCUGGCAGGUCCUCUGCUAUGAUGGAGGAGUGACCAGACCAAGUAUGAAUCACAUUGCAACCCCACGUGCCAGAGCACAACUCUGCUCACUCAAAUUUGCUCAGCUGCCCCUCCAACAUGAUCCCUAGAUCAAAUCCUUUUUCCACCUCAGGCAGAAUGGGGAGUUGAAUCUGGGUCUCCCAAAUCACAGGGCAUCUCAGACUCAUCAUCCAAGAGGUAGCCCCUCACAGCAAGAUCCAGCAUUGCAGCCACUGCACCUCAUCUCCUCCUUCAUGCCAGGACCUGCGGCUUCCAACAGCAAGCCCAUUCCAACAGGAGGCCCGAAGCAGAACCCUAGAGAGGAGGGCAUGGGCAGGGAAUAGGAGCAGGGCUAUAGAGGACCCACCUGCUGGGAUGGAGAGGAGGAACCAGAAGCACUUGGAUUUCUUCUGGGCAAGACAGGACCAUUCCCUUGCCCAGGAGAAGACUGGCUGGCUGCUUUUUGGAGGAGGAAAGGCAUAAAAAGGAAUGGGAGCAUUCCCUUAAUGGAGUGAUUAGUAGAACUGGUGGCUGACAGAGUGCAGUGUCCACCUGCUGCCAAAGCCCCAG